Molecule: ribosomal RNA, 429 nt
Filed under: Bacteroidota bacterium
Lineage: Bacteria; Pseudomonadati; Bacteroidota
Description: Bacteroidetes bacterium partial 16S ribosomal RNA
Rfam family: Bacterial small subunit ribosomal RNA
Source: RNAcentral
UAGGGAAUCUUCGGCAAUGGGGGGAACCCUGACCGAGCAACGCCGCGUGAGUGAAGAAGGUUUUCGGUUCGUAAAACUCUGUUGUUAGAGAAGAACAGCGCAUAGAGUAACUGUUAUGCGUGUGACGGUAUCUAACCAGAAAGCCACGGCUAACUACGUGCCAGCAGCCGCGGUAAUACGUAGGUGGCAAGCGUUGUCCGGAUUUAUUGGGCGUAAAGCGAGCGCAGGCGGUCAAUUAAGUCUGAUGUGAAAGCCCCCGGCUCAACCGGGGAGGGUCAUUGGAAACUGGUUGACUUGAGUGCAGAAGAGGAGAGUGGAAUUCCAUGUGUAGCGGUGAAAUGCGUAGAUAUAUGGAGGAACACCAGUGGCCAAGGCGACUCUCUGGUCUGUAACUGACGCUGAGGCUCGAAAGCGUGGGUAGCAAACAGG